AAAGAAAAAAGAACACAAAGGGAAAAUCGAGGGAGCAGUCUUUUACUUCCAAUAAUUCAUCAUUCUCCUAAUCCUCUCUGUAUUCAAGCUGGCAACACCCUCUCCUUCCUCUUCUUCUUCUCAUCUCAGAUUUCCCAUAAACCCUAACCCUAGAUUCCCGUUUCUAUGACCAACAAUUCUUCAACCCCCAUGCUCUAACACAAAAUUCCUUGUGAGAACCCCUCCCCAAAAUGAUGAUUCCUUUAAUUGUUUCCACAUUUAUUCACCUUGUUUUCAUCUUCGCGGCUGUCAGCUGCGAGAAAGAUUCUAUUUACGAUAUCCUAAAGGCCCAUGGGCUGCCCAUGGGGUUGCUUCCGAAGGGUAUAUCCCGAUUUGAUAUCGACGAUACGGGCCGCUUCGAGGUUCAUUUGGAUCAGGCCUGUAAUGCCAAGUUUGAAAGCCAGUUGCAUUUUGAUACCAAUGUGUCGGGGACCUUGAGUUAUGGGCAGAUCGGGGCGUUGUCGGGGAUUGCGGCUCAAGAGUUGUUUCUUUGGUUCCCGGUUAAAGGGAUUGGGGUCGAUGUUCCCAGCUCCGGUCUCAUUUAUUUUGACGUCGGUGUCGUUGUUAAGCAGCUUCCUUUGUCGAUGUUCGAAACGCCUAAGGACUGUAUGGCGGUAGGGGAUUUUGAAUCCGGUGAUUCAAUUCCAGAUGACGAUUUGUUAGCUGAAUCAAUUGCCAAGAGUCAAUCCGCGAAACUUGGACAUGAACUUGAUCAAGGAAGUUUGGGAGGAACCAUAUGUAGAAAGGUGGGCAAAAGCAGUUGUGUAUUAGUGCAAUCAGUUUAGCUAUCAAAGGGGAUUUUGGGGUCCCGGUCACCCCAUGCUGUAAAUUUUGUUGGAGAGUCUGCUCUAGGUUCCUGUGUGCUUUGCUUGCGUUUUUUUCUUUAUUCUAUAUAGUGCGGAAUUGCCGACAUACCAAGUCCAGCCGGCUUCUAGCUAUGCCAGGAUGGCCGAUGAGAGGGAAAUUGGAAGUUUUCAAACAUACAUUUUCGAUGAUCAUCAUGGUUGGCAUAUCAUAUGGAUUAUGGAAUAUAAAAAUGGAGAUGGGAGCAUUUGGACGGUGAUUUCAGUGUAGGGUGAUGAAAUACAGAUGGUUUUGAGCUAGGCCAGUGGACCGACAUUAAAUUUAUUCAACAAGUUGAAGUUUGGUGCCCCACUUGUAUGAAAGGACGCGGUUUGUUCUGCACUGUUAGACAUAGACAUUCCAAGACGCUGAGCCUUGUUUUCAUUUCCUAAUGGGGGUAACAUGUUUGUUUACUUAAAAUGAUUAAAACGAUAGUAUCUCGGGUGAACAUGCUAUUCUUUUGUGUUCAUUACUUGGCCCUUGUAGUUAAAGGUAGAUAGAUAAUGAUUAUGUAAAGAAGCUGUUGUUCUCAGUUGUUGAUGGAUAAGGGAAUUGGAACAACUUGACUGCCUUGUGGUUUUGAACA
Gossypium raimondii (Peruvian cotton) is the source of this 1468-nucleotide RNA transcript. RefSeq lists it as uncharacterized. The record is from RefSeq and is a predicted model, not a curated record. The transcript has 3 exons. Lineage: Eukaryota; Viridiplantae; Streptophyta; Magnoliopsida; Malvales; Malvaceae.